This 468-nucleotide ribosomal RNA is filed under the name uncultured bacterium. RNAcentral describes it as "partial 16S ribosomal RNA". It matches the Rfam family "Bacterial small subunit ribosomal RNA", at positions 28 to 507 of the family's 1533-position model. The record is from RNAcentral.
GACGAACGCUGGCGGCGUGCUUAACACAUGCAAGUCGAACGGAAAGGCCCUGCUUUUGUGGGGUGCUCGAGUGGCGAACGGGUGAGUAACACGUGAGUAACCAGCCCUUGACUUUGGGAUAACUUCAGGAAACUGGGGCUAAUACCGGAUAGGAGCUCCUGCUGCAUGGUGGGAGUUGGAAAGUUUCGGCGGUUGGGGAUGGACUCGCGGCUUAUCAGCUUGUUGGUGGGGUAGUGGCUUACCAAGGCUUUGACGGGUAGCCGGCCUGAGAGGGUGACCGGCCACAUUGGGACUGAGAUACGGCCCAGACUCCUACGGGAGGCAGCAGUGGGGAAUAUUGCACAAUGGGCGGAAGCCUGAUGCAGCAACGCCGCGUGCGGGAUGACGGCCUUCGGGUUGUAAACCGCUUUCGCCUGUGACGAAGCGUGAGUGACGGUAAUGGGUAAAGAAGCACCGGCUAACUACGUG